This 687-nucleotide ribosomal RNA is filed under the name Triticum aestivum (bread wheat). Its description in RNAcentral is "partial small subunit ribosomal RNA". Lineage: Eukaryota; Viridiplantae; Streptophyta; Magnoliopsida; Poales; Poaceae. The record is from RNAcentral.
AUGCGAAAGCGAGUUCUCCAUGGAAUUCACACAACAUUCCUGCGUUCUCGUUGGCAGGUCUCUGCUCUAUUCCAUGUCCAUGGGGACAGUGCGUCGAUCGUGGAGCAUGGCCUGGCAAGCCGCGACCUGACUCUGUUCGGCCAACCAGACAAGUACUACAAGCAGGGAUGCUAUCAAGGAUGGGGAUUUUGUCAACGCCUUUUAAUGCGUCAGCCACAACCUCAAGAUCAGGCUCCUUGUUAUGGAGAAGGUGCUCUCGAGGGUGCUAGCACACUCAACAAACAUGGAUGUGCCUUGCUACCCAAAGAUUCUCCUGGUGAUGUUCCUAAGAGGGCACCAGAUGAAGAAUCGGCGAAGGGUACAACCAGCAAAGAUGAUGCCGGGAACCUGACGACCUCUGAUAGCAAUGUUGAUGGUGCUUCACCUUCUUCGGAGAAGGCUGGUGAGUUUUUCUAUUCAGCUCAAAGAAGCGCUGUAGCACAAGAGAGGCAAUUGGAAGCAAAUCAGUCUGGUCAGAAUUCACCGGAGAGUCUUUCCUUGGAGCAGGAUUCUCAAUUGGCAGGUCAGGAAUCAUCUCCCGUUCAGCUAAGCUACAUGUUCUUCGCUGAAAGAUUAGUGAGACUGGUUGAUUCUGAACAUGUACCAUCUGUUCCAUGUGAGAGAAAUAGCAUGUCGAUAUCAUCUUGA